Molecule: ribosomal RNA, 429 nt
Filed under: Gemmatimonadota bacterium
Lineage: Bacteria; Pseudomonadati; Gemmatimonadota
Description: Gemmatimonadetes bacterium partial 16S ribosomal RNA
Rfam family: Bacterial small subunit ribosomal RNA
Source: RNAcentral
UAGGGAAUCUUCGGCAAUGGACGAAAGUCUGACCGAGCAACGCCGCGCGAGUGAAGAAGGUUUUCGGAUCGUAAAACUCUGUUGUUAGAGAAGAACAAGGACGUUAGUAACUGAACGUCACCUGACGGUAUCUAACCAGAAAGCCACGGCUAACUACGUGCCAGCAGCCGCGGUAAUACGUAGGUGGCAAGCGUUGUCCGGAUUUAUUGGGCGUAAAGCGAGCGCAGGCGGUUUCUUAAGUCUGAUGUGAAAGCCCCCGGCUCAACCGGGGAGGGUCAUUGGAGACUGGGAGACUUGAGUGCAGAAGAGGAGAGUGGAAUUCCAUGUGUAGCGAUGAAAUGCGUAGAUAUAUGGAGGAACACCAGUGGCGAAGGCGGCUCUCUGGUCUGUAACUGACGCUGAGGCUCGAAAGCGUGGGGAGCAAACAGG